Molecule: long non-coding RNA, 841 nt
Organism: Branchiostoma floridae (Florida lancelet)
Lineage: Eukaryota; Metazoa; Chordata; Leptocardii; Amphioxiformes; Branchiostomatidae
Exons: 7
Source: RefSeq, a predicted model, not a curated record
GAUGAUUGUUGUGAUCAAAUGUGUCAUUUUGUGACAUCUCUGUGAACUUCAUAACUGACAGGGGCUCGCCCUUCCGGAGAUUUGGUGGACCCAGAGACAGAGUACAAGACAAAGAAAGUGACAGAAAGGUUCUCUGAGAACCUGCACAUCAUCGCGAACGAGCCGUCCCUGGCCCUGUUCAGACUGCAGGAACAUGUGCACAAAUCUCUCCCUCAGUUAGCGGAGCAGAAGCAUGACUUGCAGAGUAUAGAGAACCAGGUGAAGGGAGCUGUCUAUGACACACAGUAUGCCAUCAGUGCUGUAGAAGCUGUACAGAGGAGCAGCCAGCCGCUCAACAACAUUUCUGACCUCCUGAGGGAGGCUAGUUUUUAUAAGGAGAGACUAAAUGAAGAAAGUAGAAAAGCUGGAGCAGGGAACAAGUCUCGGGUCAAGUCAGGGUCAUUCACAUCGUCCAGUAGGGAGGCUCAUCCUUCUGUUCCUGUCUCUGGGCACAGCAUCAAUGCGGAUCCACCUGAUGUUCAGAUGAGUCCCGUGACGGAGAGUCUUCCCGUGUUCCGUGGCCUGCCUAUCAGCUCAUCAGGAACAACCACAACUGCACAGGACGAUGACUUGGACCUGGUCCCAAAGUCCUUUGAUUGAUGAGAAUGAAGAUUCAGAAUAUGCAUGAAACUGCAAGGAUAGGGACAUUAUUGUACUGUGGGACCUCGUGCUCUAUUAUACAUUUUUCUAUAUCAUCCCUAAGAGUACAAAACAAAAACUUUGAAGUUCCAAAUGUAAAUGGGCCUAUCUGUCUCAUGAAUCAUGAUUCUACAUUCAACACUGCAUUCCCCUGUCAAUGUCA